RNAcentral lists this ribosomal RNA (495 nucleotides) under uncultured bacterium. RNAcentral describes it as "partial 16S ribosomal RNA". It matches the Rfam family "Bacterial small subunit ribosomal RNA", at positions 28 to 505 of the family's 1533-position model. The record is from RNAcentral.
GAUGAACGCUGGCGGCGUGCCUAAUACAUGCAAGUCGAGCGAACGGACGAGAAGCUUGCUUCUCUGAUGUUAGCGGCGGACGGGUGAGUAACACGUGGAUAACCUACCUAUAAGACUGGGAUAACUUCGGGAAACCGGAGCUAAUACCGGAUGAUAUUUUGAACCGCAUGGUUCAAAAGUGAAAGACGGUCUUGCUGUCACUUAUAGAUGGAUCCGCGCUGCAUUAGCUAGUUGGUAAGGUAACGGCUUACCAAGGCAACGAUGCAUAGCCGACCUGAGAGGGGGAUCGGCCACACUGGAACUGAGACACGGUCCAGACUCCUACGGGAGGCAGCAGUAGGGAAUCGUCCGCAAUGGGCGAAAGCCUGACGGAGCAACGCCGCGUGAGUGAUGAAGGUCGUCGGAGCGUAAAACUCUGUUAUUAGGGAAGAACAUAUGUGUAAGUAACUGGGCACAUCUUGACGGUACCUAAUCAGAAAGCCACGGCUAACUACG